UGUGCGAUAAAUCAUUCAAGUUUCUGCCCUAUCAGCUUUGGAUGGUAGUGUAUUGGACUACCAUGGCAGUCACGGGUAACGGAGAAUUAGGGUUCGAUUCCGGAGAGGGAGCCUGAGAAACGGCUACCACAUCUACGGAAGGCAGCAGGAGCGAAAAUUGCCCAAUCCCGACACGGGGAGGCAGUGACGAGAAAUAACAACUCUUGGUUAUUCUAAGAAGUGUAAUGAGGAUAAUUUAAAACCCUUACCGAAAGCAAUUGGAGGGCAAGUCUGGUGCCAGCAGCCGCGGUAAUUCCAGCUCCAAUAGCGUAUAUUAAAGUUGUUGCAGUUAAAAAGCUCGUAGUUGAAGUUCUGGCUGCUUGACCCUCGAGCUCUGUAGCCGAGGGCUCAGCAGUCAUCCGCUUGCAAAUAUAUGUUCGCCUUUAACCGGGCGGCUAUAUGAGUAAGUAUUUUACCUUGAGAAAAACAGAGUGUUCCAGGCAGGUUUGUCCGGAAUGCAUUAGCAUGGAAUAAUAGAAUAUGACUGAAGUCGAUUUAUUGGUUUGAGGCUUUAGUAAUGAUUAAUAGGAACAGUCGGGGGCAUUGGUACUUGUCAGUCAGAGGUGAAAUUCUAGGAUUUGACAAAGGCUAACAAAUGCGAAAGCAUUUGCCAAGGAUGUUUUCAUUAAUCAAGAACGAAAGUUAGGGGAUCAAAGACGAUCAGAUACCGUCCUAGUCUUAACUAUAAACUAUACCGACUCGGAUUCAGAUGAAUCAUAAAGUUCAUUUGGGACCGUAGGAGAAAUCAAAGUUUUUGGGUUCUGGGGGAAGUAUGGUCGCAAGGCUGAAACUUAAAGGAAUUGACGGUUUUGCACCACCAUGGAGUGGAGUCUGCGGCUUAAUUUGACCCAACACUGGGAAACUCAUCAGGGCAAGAAGAUUGUAGGAUUGACAGAUUGAGAGUUCUUUCUUGAUUGGUCUAGUGGUGGUGCAUGGCCGUUCUUAGUUGGUGGAGUGAUUUGUCUGGUUAAUUCCGUUAACGAACGAGACCUUAACCUGCUAACUAGUACACCGAUGACAAAUCGGUGAUACUUCUUAGAGGGACUAUGUGAUGUAAUCACAUGGAAGUUUGAGGCAAUAACAGGUCUGUGAUGCCCUUAGAUGUCCUGAGCUGCACGCGUACUACAAUGGUGCUUUCAUCGAGCUUUUCCUGAUCCGAAAGGAUUUGGGUAAUCUUUUUAGUGAGCACCGUGCUUGGGAUAGAUCUUUGUAAUUAUGGAUCUUGAACUAGGAAUUCCUAGUAAGCACGUGUCAUCAGCA
This 1299-nucleotide ribosomal RNA is filed under the name metagenome. RNAcentral's name for it is "SSU rRNA". It matches the Rfam family "Eukaryotic small subunit ribosomal RNA", at positions 284 to 1636 of the family's 1831-position model. The record is from RNAcentral.